UUUGUUUAAGGGUAUUCUAAACUUUUCACCUACACCAAAUAGCAACGUGUAAUUUACCCUAGAAUUGAAGAGCCGCCGCAACAAAGCAUAAGGAAAAUCUCUCUCCUCUCUCCUCUCUCCUCUCUCUCACUCUCUCUAUCUCGUUAAUAGAAGCCUAGUCUCAUCUGGAAACAACAUUUGCUUUCCUUUCAAGGUAUUUCUAUACGGUUGCAGUUCAUCUUUGUUUUUCAAUUUCGAUUAAGUUUGAAACGAGUGCACAAGGAAAAUUGGCCGCUGGAGCUCGCCAUCACGUUUGGCGAUUUGCCAAUACUAUUGGGCGACACGCCAAGUUCCCCCCUGAAGCUCGCCAAAAUGUCCUAAGAAGUUUACUCAGGGAUCAAAGACUUUUAUCAAGGCGAAGGAGGAUUUGGUGACCCGCUGAACGGGUUCUACGAGCUGGAGGACCUUGCCAAAAAGUUCAGAGAGUUUUGCUCAGAAACAAGGCCUAUUGGCGAGACAGGGGAAGGGAACGGCGACUCGUCGAUUUGGUUGGCGAGCUAUAUCGACCUCACCAAAGAUUUCAGAGAAAAUCUCUUCAGAGUUCGAGGACGUUUUGCGAGCAAGGCUAGGAGAUCCGCGACUCGCCGAUCAGGACGGUGAGCUCGACCGAUCUCGCCCACUGGGCCCUGUCAUUUAUUUUAAGUUUAUCUUGGUCUUUUUCAACCUUUUUCAAACUUAACUCAAGCCAUUUUGGGACUAGAAUUAAACCCUUAUCAGUACCCAACAAAGUCUUUCUCUCAUUAACACAAAAAACCUUUUGAGAACAUGAAUUAGAGAGAAGGAGAAGAGCUAGGGCUUAACAGUUUCAAGCCAAAACAUCGAGUCUCACCUAGAUAAUCUUCAUCCCAGAUACAGGUGUUAGGGAUCAUCAACAGACGAACCGUUGAGGAUCUAUCUUCCAUAGCUUUGGUGAGACCUCUUUGCAUUCAGAGGAUCUUCUUCAUUAUCAGCUUUAUGUUGUUUCAUUAUUUAAGAUGGUCAUGGGCUUAUCUCGACACCUUCAAUUGGUAGAGGUUUCAUAGACUGAGUAGAGUGAAGCUAUGUUGAGCCUUUCAGAAUCUGUUUUGAAAAAUACGACUUUCAUUAUUGAGUUAUAAUAUUGACUUACAUUUUUAUAUGAGUACUUUAAGUUAAAGUUAUUAUUUUAUAUGAGUGCUUUAAGUUAUUUUUAGCUCCCUCCAUAUCAAUCUUCUGCCAGUGGAAGGCUAGAGGAUUCAACAUAUCAGAAAUACUCCAAGUAUGUUUCUUAUUGCUCAGACCUAUUUUCUUUUAUACCCCUUUUAAUCCUUUUUUCCUUUAUGUCAACGAUGAGGGAUAUUUUGCCCUUGAUUUUUUUUAUUUUUCAUUUAUAGCACCACAUUGACAACAAACAGGAUGAUUAACUCCUCUCUUUUUGACAUUGUAAGUGGAACAUAUGGAAGGCAAAAUACAGGCCUCAAAAAUCCGAGUUGAGCUAAAGCUGUAUUCAGAGCAAUGGAGUUUGGCUCAUGAAACAACCAUUCAUGAUUCAAUCAAUGGCAUUAGCUUUGACUUCAGGCAGUGCAAUAUCAUUUUUUUUUUGCUUCCCCUUUAUGGCAAAUGGAGAGACUAUUGCUAUAAAAUUUUGAGUAGAAAGUAGCAUAUUCUACUUUUGAUUUCAAUCCUUUCUCAGUUUCAUCUUCUAAUAAAUAACCAAGUAUAGUAACUUAAUAGACUAACACUGGGGAUAUAGUAUGAUCCUAGUUUAAUAUGAUGAAAUUCAGCUAGUGGGGACGAUUGUGUAUGAUCCUCGAUACAGUGGACAACAUAUGUAAUUGGCAAAGGAAGACGAUGUUUUUUCACAAUGCAUCAA
This is a long non-coding RNA of Solanum dulcamara, 1870 nucleotides long. RefSeq lists it as uncharacterized. NCBI's taxonomy places the organism in Eukaryota, Viridiplantae, Streptophyta, Magnoliopsida, Solanales, Solanaceae. The transcript is spliced from 3 exons. The record is from RefSeq and is a predicted model, not a curated record.